RNAcentral lists this long non-coding RNA (7748 nucleotides) under Gossypium barbadense (sea-island cotton). RNAcentral's name for it is "long non-coding RNA (GBAR_LNC003017)". Lineage: Eukaryota; Viridiplantae; Streptophyta; Magnoliopsida; Malvales; Malvaceae. The record is from RNAcentral.
GGCUACGGUCCAGUAAAAAGCAUAAAGAAAGAAAUCAAAAACAAAAAACCAAAAAAACUACUAGAACAAACGGUCUUAAAACAAACUAACAUAACUAGCCCAUCUCAUCCAAAUGCAAGUAAACUAAAACAGCAAACAAAUCUUCUCCUAUGCCAGCCAAAUCUAACAGCUGGAUGCCAAUAUCUUGUGUCUUUUCACGUCAAUCAACCCAGCCACUAAUGAUAGCAGGUUUUCAAAAAUUGAAAUGAAUUCUUAUCUGCUACCUUUUAUUUCCAAACCUUUCAUUUCUUCAUUUGCUCAGUCUGGAGGCUUUAGCAGAGGGUUCUCCACAGCUUGACGAGCCAAAUCUGGAAUUCCUCCCAUCAGGUAAAAACUCUCUCUUCUUUUUAAGGCCUCCUUUACGAUAACAUGUGCGUAGAUAUUCCCUGCUUUAGGGACAUAAUAAAACUCAAUCUCCUGGAAUCUGACUUUUCUGCUUUGAAUAUCCCUGAUAAUGGCUCCAAUGACCGAUUUAUCUAUACCAGUACUCUGGCAUUUCUUAAUGACAGUUUUCGAGUCCCUCGCUACUUUUAUUUUAUUUAAUCCCAUAAGAAUCCCUAAUUUUACUGCCUGUAACACUGCAUAUGCCUCUGCCAUGAAUGGAGUUGCUAUCUCGGAGUGUAUGACUGCUUUCGAUGCAAGGAUCUCUCCCUCCUCAUUCUGUACAAGCAAACCCGUAGCCGAUCUGGACGAUUGACAGUUAAAUGCUGCAUCAAAAUGAAUUGUGACCCUUCCUCUUCUACAUUCCUGUUGGGUAUUUUUAGUAGAUUGAAGAGGAAGUUUUCUCUUUUUUAUUGCAUCCAACUCUAUGAUAUAGUUUUGAGUUUGCCUUACUAUUUCGAUUCCUGUCGUAUUUCUUCUUUCAUAUAGUAAUCGAUUUCUGUUGAACCAGAUUAACUAGAAUCCGCAACAAAAAAGUCGGAUUUGCUCAGUAGUCCAUUGGCCGAAGAUCCAGGUAAACCAUUCCCAUAUAUUCAGAUUGUUAUGGUUUAAUACCCAUGUUAGAUUUAACUGGUUCCAUACCUCAACUGUUGUAGGGCACUAUUGAAAAAUAUGAAUGUUGUCUUCUUCUCCUUGGCGACAUUUAGGGCAUUGAGCUUCCACCACAACCCUCUUAAGCUUUAGAUUGACAAGGGACUGAAUGAAGUUCCAGGAAAAUCUCUAUACUGUAAUCUGUAUUUUUGAGGGAAUUUCCAUAGUUUCCUAUAGAAGCUUUUAAUUUUGGCAUGUAAAGUAAAAUUAUUAGGAUCCAAGCUAGUUUCAUGUAAUAGUUUAUAGGCACUCUUUACAGAGAACUCCCCUAUCAACUCCCCUCUCUAUACUUGAAAAUCCUCGUGUGUCGUCUCCGCUAGUGGAAUCUUCAGGAUUUUUUCUGUUAUAUCCAUUCAAAAGGUAUUCCUUACGACCUUUGUUUUCCAACUUCUAUUAUUGGCUUCUAUUAGAUCCGAUACUAACUUGAUAUUUUCAAUGUUAUCUUGAUUUGGUACUUUAUCUACUUCGUUUCCUGAUAUCCACAAAUCGUCCCAAAUGGAUAUUUGAUCACCUCUCCCAACCCUCCAGCAUAAGCCUUUCUCCAAAAGCCCUCUCGCGACCCAAACACUCUUCUAGGUGAGCGAAGGUAAAUUUCCUAAUCGAGCUUUGUAGAAAUUCGAAUUAGGAUAAUAUUUUGCCUUCAAAAUGCGGGCUAAUAAUGAAUUUGGAUAAUUAACUAGACGCCACCCUUGCUUUGCUAAUAACGCAACAUAAAACUUCGCAAGAUCUCAAAAACCAAGGUCAUCUUCUUUUAAUAAGCAUAGAUCUUUCCAAGCGCACCAAUGAAUACCUUUCCUAUUAUGACUAUUAUCCCCUCCAAUUCAGCACAUAGAACCUUAGGAAGUAGAAAACAAGACAUCUUAUAAGUUGGGAUAGAUUGGAGAAUAGCUUUGACAAAAACUUCCUUCCCUUUGGAAGAGAUAUCUUAUACUCCAACUUUCAAUUUGUUGUUUAAAUCUAUCCUUCAAAUUUUGAAAAGACGAUCUCUUCCUUAUAACCACCAUAUUGGGAAGUCUUAGAUGCCGUUUUGGAUCGUGAAACUGUAACCCUUUCCUCUUCUUGUGUAUUGGUACUGAAGAAAAUAGAUGAUUUAUCAUAAUUGACACAUUGGCCUGAACUCAUCUCAUACUCAUUCAAUAUUUGUUUUAGAGAAUGUGCUCCCCUUUCAGUAGCUUCUGCAAAUAAGAUAUAGCCAUCGACAAAGAGUAGAUGAGAGAUGGUUGGCCCAUUUUGACUAGCUUUAACUCCUUUUAAGGAUGUUUCUUGCUUUUACAAGCCUUAUUAGACUUGAGAGCCCUUCCCCACAAAAUAGAAAUAAAAACGGACUUAAAGGGUCUCCUUUUCUAAGGCCUCUAGAUGGAAGAAAAAGUUUCUCAUAUAUUUCCAUUUAAAACUACAGAAUAUGAUACUGUAGACAUAUUUCAUUAACAGAUCAACCUAUCCUGGAUCAAAUCUCAUUUUCUUUAUCACCCCCUCCACAAAAUUCCUUUCAUCCUUAUCAUAUGCCUUACUGAUGUCUAGUUUCACAGCCAUAAGCCCUUUUAUCCCUCUCUUCUUGUGUUUUAAAGUGUGCAGAAUUUCAUACGCUAAUAACACAUUAUCAAAAAUUAGCCUCCCUGGAGCAAAGCACUUUGUGCUAAAUCGAUACAUUUAUGAAUCACUACUCGAAGCCGAUUAACAAUGACCUUAGCUAUCAAUUUAUAAAGCACAUUGCAUAAACUAAUUGGUCUAAAUUGUGUAAUACUAGAAGGAUUCGUAAUUUUUGGGAUUAACACUAUUUUUUUUCUUGAUCGAAUGAAAUUCCAUACCUUCAUUUAAUCUUUGAAGGCAAAAAGUAGAGACAUCCUCUCUAAAGAUUGGCCAGCAUUUUUGAUAAAUAAGGCUGGAAACCCAUUCUCUCUUGGAGCUUUUGUAGAACCCAUUUAUGAUAGAGCUUCUUUUAUCUCUUCUUUGGUGUAACUUGCCUUUAAUUUAUAAUUAUCUUCCUCAGAAAUAUAGUAGUCAAUUCCUGACAAGAUUUUAUCAUGGUUAUCUCAUCUUUCUGCUAAAAAUAACUUCAUAAAAUACAAUUUGGCAAUUUCCUCCAUCUCUCUAAACUCCACUGUCUCUUUACCAUCUUCAAAUUGCAUUUUGUGGAUAAAAUUUUGUUUCCAUCUUUGUGUCACUUGCUUAUGAAAAAACGUUGUAUUUUUGUCUCCAAGUUUCAACCAAUUUAAUCGGGCCCUCUGUUCCCAGUAGCAUUCAUCAUUUUCUAUCUCGAAGUUCAAAUGGAUCUUAGUAUCUAUAAGCUCUGUCAAAUUCUGAUCACUUCCAUCAUAUUCCAGUAACGUUGCUAACUUUGAAGUUAGAACCUCUGUUUUCAUUUUUUUACUCCAUCGAAUCUGACGUGCCCAGCUUUCUAAACCUCUUUUCAGAUUUUCCAAUUUACUCAAAAGAUCUCUUAUGGAAUUUUCCCAAAGACGCCUAGCUUUCUCAAAAAAUGUUUCCUCCAAAACCCAAAACCCACCUGGCUUCAAACUUAAAAUUUUUAUUAAGCAGCCUUCUAGCUCCAUAUUCUGUAUUAAUAAGAAGUGGACAAUGUAAUAUCCUGAAUUAGGGCUUAAUCGAAAUAGUGGUUUCGUGACCACAAAUCUGAGAUAGAAAUAAUAAUUUUAUAAUUAUUUUGAUGAUUAUGAUAUGAUUGCAUGAUUGUGUGAAAAUUUCGUGAAGAAAUUUUAUGCCUAAAAUGCUUAAAUUGAAAGUAGGGACUAAAUCGAAUAAGUUGUAAAACUUACAUUCUAGAAAUUUUUAGUAUAAAAUUGUUUUAGAAUAUUAAUGAGGAUUAAAAUAGAAAUUUGACCAAUUUUAAGUUCAUGGACAAAAUUAGAACAUGGAAAGAAUUUUUGGAAAGUUUAGUAGUAAGGGUAUUUUGGUCAUUUAAUUAUUAAAAUGAAUUAAAAAUAAAAUUAAAAGUUAAUUUUUGUCCAUCUUCUUCAUUAGGCCGAAAUUUUAAGGGUUUUCUAUAGCUAGGGUUUGUUUUAAGCUUCUAAGCUUCAUAAUAAGUGAUUUCAAGCCCCGUUUUUAAUGUUCUUUACGUUUUCAGAAUCCCGGUAGUUCAAUUAAGCUUAUGUUAGCAAUAAUUCAACCUAGGGUUUAUAUUUGAAAAAAUACUCAUAGGUGAAAUUUGUGUAUUAUGAUGUUUUAUGAUAGAAUAUGAGGUUUUAAAUUAUGUCAAAUUCUCAUCACUUCCAUCAUAUUCCAGUAAUGUUGCUAACUUUGAAGUUAGAACCUCUGUUUUCAUUUUUUUACUCCAUCAAAUCUGACGUGCCCAGUUUUCUAAACCUCUUUUCAGAUUUUCCAAUUUACUCAAAAGAUCUCUUAUGGAAUUUUCCCAAAGACGCCUAGCUUUCUCAAAAAAUGUUUCCUCCAAAACCCAAAACCCACCUGGCUUCAACUUAAAAUUUUUAUUGAGCAGCCUUCUAGCUCCAUAUUCUGUAUUAAUAAGAAGUGGACAAUGUAAUAUCCUGAAUUAGGGCUUAAUCGGAAUAGUGGUUUCGUGACCACAAAUCUGAGAUAGAAAUAAUAAUUUUAUAAUUAUUUUGAUGAUUAUGAUAUGAUUGCAUGAUUGUGUGAAAAUUUCGUGAUGAAAUUUUAUGCCUAAAAUGCUUAAAUUGAAAGUAAGGACUAAAUCGAAUAAGUUGUAAAACUUGCAUUCUAGAAGUUUUUAGUAUAAAAUUGUUUUGGAAUAUUAAUGAGGAUUAAAAUAGAAAUUUGACCAAUUUUAAGUUCAUGGACAAAAUUAGAACAUGGAAAGAAUUUUUGGAAAGUUUAGUAGUAAGGGUAUUUUGGUCAUUUAGUUAUUAAAAUGAAUUAAAAAUAAAAUUAAAAGCUAAUUUUUGUCCAUCUUCUUCAUUAGGCCGAAAUUUCAAGGGUUUUCUAUAGCUAGGGUUUGUUUCAAGCUUCUAAGUUUCAUAAUAAGUGAUUUCAAGCCCCAUUUUUAAUGUUCUUUACGUUUUCAGAAUCCCGGUAGUUCGAUUAAGCUUAUGUUAGCAAUAAUUCAACCUAGGGUUUAUAUUUGAAAAAAUACCCAUAGGUGAAAUUUGUGUAUUAUGAUGUUUUAUGAUAGAAUAUGAGGUUUUAAAUUAUGUCAAAUUCUCAUCACUUCCAUCAUAUUCUAGUAACGUUGCUAACUUUGAAGUUAGAACCUCUGUUUUCAUUUUUUUACUCCAUCAAAUCUGACGUGCCCAGCUUUCUAAACCUCUUUUCAGAUUUUCCAAUUUACUCAAAAGAUCUCCUAUGGAAUUUUCCCAAAGACGCCUAGCUUUCUCAAAAAAUGUUUCCUCCAAAACCCAAAACCCACCUGGCUUCAAACUUAAAAUUUUUAUUAAGCAGCCUUCUAGCUCCAUAUUCUGUAUUAAUAAGAAGUGGACAAUGUAAUAUCCUGAAUUAGGGCUUAAUCGGAAUAGUGGUUUUGUAAUCACAAAUCUGAGAUAGAAAUAAUAAUUUUAUAAUUAUUUUGAUGAUUAUGAUAUGAUUGCAUGAUUGUGUGAAAAUUUCGUGAUGAAAUUUUAUGCCUAAAAUACUUAAAUUGAAAGUAGGGACUAAAUCGAAUAAGUUGUAAAACUUGCAUUCUAGAAGUUUUUAGUAUAAAAUUGUUUUGGAAUAUUAAUGAGGUCUAAAAUAGAAAUUUGACCAAUUUUAAGUUCAUGGACAAAAUUAGGACAUGGAAAGAAUUUUUGGAAAGUUUAGUAGUAAGGGUAUUUUGGUCAUUUAGUUAUUAAAAUGAAUUAAAAACAAAAUGAAAAGCUAAUUUUUGUCCAUCUUCUUCAUUAGGCUGAAAUUUCAAGGGUUUUCUAUAGCUAGGGUUUGUUUCAAGCUUCUAAGCUUCAUAAUAAGUAAUUCCAAGCCCCAUUUUUAAUAUUCUUUACGUUUUUAGAAUCCCGGUAGUUCGAUUAAGCUUAUGUUAGCAAUAAUUCAACCUAGGGUUUAUAUUUGAAAAAAAUACCCAUAGGUGAAAUUUGUGUAUUAUGAUGUUUUAUGAUAGAAUAUGAGGUUUUAAAUUAUGUUAGACAACUUGUGCUACUCGGUUUUGAGUGAAAACGAGUAAAAGGGCUUAAUCGACAAAAAUACCUAAUAGUCACAAGUAUAUGUUAGAGAGAGAAUUUGAUGUUGCCAUAGAAGGAAAAACUGAUCAGCAUGUUAUAAAAUAUAAGAAUAAGGAAUAAAGUUUAAUUCCCGAGCCUAGAGGCAAAAGUUUAAUUAUGCAAAAAUUUAGGGGCAAAAGUGUAAUUUUUUUAAAGUUCGUAUUAAAUGCUGUUUUAAUGAAUGUAUGUAUUAAAUAAGAUUAAUUUGGUAUUAUAGAUCAAUAAAAAUGAGAUUCAAGUCGCGAUCGAGGAAAAGAAAAGAUUGUGGACUAAAUUGUAAAAUUUUUAUAUUUUGGUACCAAGGUAAGUUCAUGUGUAAAUGUAGUAAAAUAAUUGUCAUUUUAAGCAAUUUAAUGUUUAUAUGAUAUGAUGUUGAUUAUUAUCAUGAAAUAUUAUGCUUUGUGGUUAUUGUUGAAUAAUAUGUAAUUAUAUGAAUUACUUGAUGAGUAUGAACUAUCAUCGAAGUACCGAUUUCGAUAAUCCGUGGAAGGCGGCAAAGAUGUGUCAUCGAGGAAAACGUCCGUUUGAACCUUAGGAAUAUAUUAGGAUACAAGUGACAUGUCACUAGAAUGGUUGAGCAUCUGAACUCGUUGAGUUGAGUCCGAGUUCACUUAUUGAUGCGAAUGUCUGAACUCGUUGAUUUGAGUCCGAGUUCGUGAAAUGUAACUAGGCAUCCGACCUCGUUGAGUUGAGUUCGAGUUCACUUAUGGAUGCGAACGCCCGAGCUCGUUGAGUUGAGUCUGAGUUCACUUAUGGGCGGGUUACAUGGUAGCUUAAUUAUAUAUGAGGCAUUUAUGUGCAAAUUAUCCGUGUAUCCAAGUUGUAUUUCGAUGUGUUCAACGGGUGAAAUUUCUAGUGAAAUGGAAGAACACUUAAGAUGCAAGCGAUGUUUUGGUAAGUGUUGUGAAAUGGAAACUUUGGACAGGUAUGUUCUUAACCCUCGGGUUGAAAAUAGAUACAACAAUGAUAAGGUGGUAAGAUGAGGAAUGAUGUUUAGAAAUGUGAUAUAUGUUUUGGUGAUACCAUGCUAAAAUUGUUUGGUAUAUUUGUAUUGUUAUGUUACUUGUUAUUUACAUAUGAACUUACUAAGCAUUUAUGCUUACUCUCUCCUUUUUAUUUACUGUAGUUUUGAACAAGUCAGCUCGGGAAUCAGGACGAGUCGAAGGUUCGAUCACACUAUCCAAAGGACUUUCAUCUGGGUAAAUGGCUUGUAAAACUUAAGUAUGGCAUGUAUAGCAAUAUACUUAUUUUGUGUAAAUAAUUUUAUGAUAUGGCCAUGUUUGGUUGAGAAAAUGUUUGAUAUUGAUAAGUCAUUAUGAUGGCUAAUUUAGACCAUGUUUGAUAUUAUGAAGUUUAAUAGGUUAUCUAGUUCAUAAAAAUUCAUGGAAAGAUGAAACUUGCCUUAAAACAGAAUAUUGAUGCAGCAAUGACAUGAAUUUAAAAAAUCACUAAAAAUAGUAUAAAUGGAAAUAAAUGAUGAGUAAGUUAUGAAAUUGAAGCUUAAUGAGUCUAUUUUCAUGUGGAUUGAACAAAACAGGUAUAUAAAUUAUAUUU